AUUGAACGCUGGCGGAAUGCUUUACACAUGCAAGUCGAACGGCAGCACGGACUUCGGUCUGGUGGCGCGUGGCGAACGGGUGAGUAAUACAUCGGAACGUGCCCAGUCGGGGGGGGUAACGUAGCGAAAGCUACGCUAAUACCGCAUACGAUCUAAGGAUGAAAGCGGGGGAUCGCAAGACCUCGCGCGAUGGGAGCGGCCGAUGGCAGAUUAGGUAGUUGGUAGGGUAAAGGCCUACCAAGCCGACGACCUGUAGCUGGUCUGAGAGGAUGAUCAGCCACACUGGGACUGAGACACGGCCCAGACUCCUACGGGAGGCAGCAGUGGGGAAUUUUGGACAAUGGGCGCAAGCCUGAUCCAGCCAUUCCGCGUGCAGGAUGAAGGCCUUCGGGUUGUAAACUGCUUUUGUACAGAACGAAAAGGCUCUGGUUAAUACCCGGGGCUCAUGACGGUACUGUAAGAAUAAGCACCGGCUAACUACGUGCCGGCCGCCGCUGUAA
RNAcentral lists this ribosomal RNA (500 nucleotides) under uncultured bacterium. RNAcentral describes it as "partial 16S ribosomal RNA". It matches the Rfam family "Bacterial small subunit ribosomal RNA", at positions 30 to 523 of the family's 1533-position model. The record is from RNAcentral.